Molecule: transfer RNA, 66 nt
Filed under: Chagasia sp. SP54_C
Lineage: Eukaryota; Metazoa; Arthropoda; Insecta; Diptera; Culicidae
Description: tRNA-His
Source: RNAcentral
AUUUAAAUAGUUUAAAAAAAACAUUGAUUUGUGGUAUCAAAAAUAUAAAUUUAUUUAUUUUAGAUC